Molecule: ribosomal RNA, 253 nt
Filed under: uncultured bacterium
Lineage: Bacteria
Description: partial 16S ribosomal RNA
Rfam family: Bacterial small subunit ribosomal RNA
Source: RNAcentral
UACAGAGGAGCCAAGCGUUGUCCGGAUUGACUGGGCGUAAAGCGCACGCAGGCGGCACCGUGCGUGGGGUGUGAAAUCUGGCCGCUUAACGGCCAGGCGCCAUCCCAUACGGCGGAGCUAGAGUGAUGCAGAGGUCGAUGGAAUUGCCGGUGUAGUGGUGAAAUGCGCAGAUAUCAGGAGGAACACCGAUGGCGAAGGCAGGUCUCUGGGCAUUAACUGACGCUGAGGAGCGAAAGCAUGGGGAGCGAACAGG